GAUGAACGCUGGCGGCGUGCCUAAUACAUGCAAGUCGAGCGAACAGACGAGGAGCUUGCUCCUCUGACGUUAGCGGCGGACGGGUGAGUAACACGUGGAUAACCUACCUAUAAGACUGGGAUAACUUCGGGAAACCGGAGCUAAUACCGGAUAAUAUAUUGAACCGCAUGGUUCAAUAGUGAAAGACGGUUUUGAUGUCACUUAUAGAUGGAUCCGCGCCGCAUUAGCUAGUUGGUAAGGUAACGGCUUACCAAGGCGACGAUGCGUAGCCGACCUGAGAGGGUGAUCGGCCACACUGGAACUGAGACACGGUCCAGACUCCUACGGGAGGCAGCAGUAGGGAAUCUUCCGCAAUGGGCGAAAUCCUGACGGAGCAACGCCGCGUGAGUGAUGAAGGUCUUCGGAUCGUAAAACUCUGUUAUUAGGGAAGAACAAAUGUGUAAGUAACUAUGCACGUCUUGACGGUACCUAAUCAGAAAGCCACGGCUAACUACGUG
RNAcentral lists this ribosomal RNA (497 nucleotides) under uncultured bacterium. RNAcentral's name for it is "partial 16S ribosomal RNA". It matches the Rfam family "Bacterial small subunit ribosomal RNA", at positions 28 to 507 of the family's 1533-position model. The record is from RNAcentral.